UCUUUUGAUUUUAAUUUAAGAUCAGGCCUGCCCAUUGAUUUUAUAGAAUUAAAAGGCUGCGGUAUUUUAACUGUACGAAGGUAGCAUAAUCACUUGUCUUUUAAUUGAAGGCUAGAAUGAAUGGUUUGAUGAAAGAUAAACUUUCUUUUUUCAAUUAAAUUAAAUUUAAUUUUUUAGUUAAAAAGCUAAAAUUUUUUUAUAGGACGAGAAGACCCUAUAGAAGUUUACUUUAUUUAUAAAAAUUUUUUUUUAGUUUAUAAAAUUUAAUUUUAGAAUAUAAAGUUUUGUUGGGGUGACAGUUGAAUUUAUAAAACUUUGAUUUAUUUUUUCAUUAAUUUAUGUUUUUCUUGAUCCAAUUUUAUUGAUUAUAAGAUUAACUUACCUUAGGGAUAACAGCGUAAUUUUUUCGGAGAGUUCAUAUC
RNAcentral lists this ribosomal RNA (422 nucleotides) under Amemboa sp. JD-2014. RNAcentral describes it as "partial 16S large subunit ribosomal RNA". Lineage: Eukaryota; Metazoa; Arthropoda; Insecta; Hemiptera; Gerridae. The record is from RNAcentral.